RNAcentral lists this ribosomal RNA (253 nucleotides) under uncultured bacterium. Its description in RNAcentral is "partial 16S ribosomal RNA". It matches the Rfam family "Bacterial small subunit ribosomal RNA", at positions 524 to 776 of the family's 1533-position model. The record is from RNAcentral.
UACGUAGGGUGCGAGCGUUAAUCGGAAUUACUGGGCGUAAAGCGUGCGCAGGCGGUUAUGUAAGACAGGUGUGAAAUCCCCGGGCUUAACCUGGGAACUGCAUUUGUGACUGCAUAGCUAGAGUACGGUAGAGGGGGAUGGAAUUCCGCGUGUAGCAGUGAAAUGCGUAGAUAUGCGGAGGAACACCGAUGGCGAAGGCAAGCCCCUGGGCCUGCACUGACGCUCAUGCACGAAAGCGUGGGGAGCAAACAGG